This 509-nucleotide ribosomal RNA is filed under the name uncultured bacterium. RNAcentral describes it as "partial 16S ribosomal RNA". It matches the Rfam family "Bacterial small subunit ribosomal RNA", at positions 28 to 507 of the family's 1533-position model. The record is from RNAcentral.
GACGAACGCUGGCGGCGUGCUUAACACAUGCGAGUCGAACGAAGAGCGAUGGAAGCUUGCUUCUAUCAAUCUUAGUGGCGAACGGGUGAGUAACGCGUAAUCAACCUGCCCUUCAGAGGGGGACAACAGUUGGAAACGACUGCUAAUACCGCAUACGAUCUAAUCUCGGCAUCGAGGAUAGAUGAAAGGUGGCCUCUACAUGUAAGCUAUCACUGAAGGAGGGGAUUGCGUCUGAUUAGCUAGUUGGAGGGGUAACGGCCCACCAAGGCGAUGAUCAGUAGCCGGUCUGAGAGGAUGAACGGCCACAUUGGGACUGAGACACGGCCCAGACUCCUACGGGAGGCAGCAGUGGGGAAUCUUCCGCAAUGGACGAAAGUCUGACGGAGCAACGCCGCGUGAGUGAUGACGGCCUUCGGGUUGUAAGCUCUGUUAAUCGGGACGAAAGGCCUUCUUGCGAAUAGUGAGAAGGAUUGACGGUACCGGAAUAGAAAGCCACGGCUAACUACGUG